GACGAACGCUGGCGGCGUGCUUAACACAUGCAAGUCGAGCGGUAAGGCCCUUUCGGGGGUACACGAGCGGCGAACGGGUGAGCAACACGUGGGUGACCUGCCCUCAGCUCUGGGAUAAGCCUGGGAAACCGGGUCUAAUACUGGAUAUGACUCCAUGACGCAUGUUGUGGGGUGGAAAGCCUUGUGCGGCUGAGGAUGGGCCCGCGGCCUAUCAGCUUGUUGGUGGGGUGAUGGCCUACCAAGGCGACGACGGGUAGCCGGCCUGAGAGGGCGACCGGCCACACUGGGACUGAGACACGGCCCAGACUCCUACGGGAGGCAGCAGUGGGGAAUCUUGCGCAAUGGGCG
This 348-nucleotide ribosomal RNA is filed under the name uncultured bacterium. RNAcentral's name for it is "bacterial SSU rRNA". It matches the Rfam family "Bacterial small subunit ribosomal RNA", at positions 28 to 377 of the family's 1533-position model. The record is from RNAcentral.